This is a long non-coding RNA of Anolis carolinensis (green anole), 2422 nucleotides long. RefSeq lists it as uncharacterized. The record is from RefSeq and is a predicted model, not a curated record. Lineage: Eukaryota; Metazoa; Chordata; Lepidosauria; Squamata; Anolidae. The transcript is spliced from 5 exons.
CAAAGCCUCAAGAGUAUCCUUCCUAAAUAAACACCUUACUACAGGAUUCUGCUGGCUGGUACAGAACACAGCUCUCCCCUGUAUUUGAAACUAUGAUGUAUCACAGAGGUCAGCAAAGAACUGGUAGUUAUCGAGAGACAGAAGGUUGUGUCUCUACAAUAUCCUUGAAAUGCACAGGUCUGAUAUCAUUUUCCUCUCACCUGCACUGAUGAAAGUCAGACAUACCCUGAAACCCAGCAAAGUCAUCACUGUGAGUGAUGAAAACCAAACGACUUUAGAGUGUGGUCGAGAUGGUAAACAGUAAACUACUAAUAAAAAUGAAUGCACAAUCCAGGAAUGGCUGCAGCAGUUUGCUUUUGCCAGAGCCUACUGAGAAAGCACGACUAAAGCAUGAACUGGCAAUGAAUUUAGCAAUCUACAUGGAGCAGAAUCUGUGCCUGUGGAGUCCCUUUCCCACCUAUGUGAACAAUCACAGUAUGCGAUCCACGAGGAGAUUUUGAAUGCCAGCCCAUUUCUCUCUCUCUCUCAGUCUCUCUCCCCUGCCCCCUUUUCUCUCUUCCCCUGAAGGCAAAAGAUGUUCAGAACAACAACAGAAGGGAAAAGAGGUAUGAAAAGAUUAGGCUGAUCAAAGGAAUCUCAUGUCACACCAGAAGAUUGAUUUCUCCAUCUUCCCAGUUUGCCAUGCUCCGUCCAUCAGAGCUGCCCAUGUGGAUACUACAGUCUUAUGUGUAUUUGUGUGCAAAUGUGCAGAUGUCUGCCCACAGCAGUGGUGAGAAGUGUUGCUCUCUGACUUUGAUUUCUGCCAGCAACCAUUCCAUUAAAAGGUACCAAAUGGAUAUCAGACUGAAUAUUGUGCUAAGGAAAUUCAAAACUGCAUCUCCUGCCAGAUCAGGAAUGUAAAAGAAUCUGAAAUGAAUGAACAUGAAAUGCUUUUUUCCUCCGUGCUGACAAACAUGUCAAGUGCUGAAAUGAAAGAGCAGAUAUAUGGACAUUUUUUAAAAGCUUAUGCCAAAACCAUCACUAUUUCCCUGGUAUGAUCUAUUUCCAGGCCUCCUUUAGCAGAACACAAAUUUAAUUGGAAAUUAGAUUCCUGUCAUAACGGCCUCAGGUAGGUUUUAAAUGUUUUGUCUCUGACUUCUGGAUCAAUUUGAAUAUCUGAGAACAGCAGAAACGAUACAACAAAUCUAUGAAGCAUAACAGGGGGCUCAGUUAGCAUUGAAUUUUAUUUCAUAAUCAUAUCUGGAAUAGUUUGCAAAAGAGUGAAAAUGUGACCCCUGUCAUUUCAGUUAGUGAUGCACUGAAUACUUCAUCGUUCUAUCUAUUCUUAUUUAGUUUGAUAAAAGGGAGAUUUGAUAAGGGAAAAAGCUAAGAAUAAAAUGUUGAUUUCUCUCUGUGUAUAAAAACUUGGUACUGUUAUAUUAUCUGGGCGGAGAUCACUAGAAGGUGCUAGACAGAGAAGGAUAGUCCAUUUUAUGUGGGUCGGGGGAGUGGAAAGAGGAAAACCAUUUCCCCCAUUUUUGCUGGUUAUGUCUUCUCCCCCCUUCUCAUAUCAUAAACAAGGGUUAUUUCCACAACGGGGACUUGGGUGGGGGGGAAUAACAGGAAAACAGGGGGAAAUGGUUUUCCUCUUUCAACCCACCCUCUACUCGCAUAAAAUGGACUAUCCUUUUCUGUCUAGUGUCCCCUAGUGGCCUCUGUCCGGAUAAUGGAACAGUACCGAACUUUUUUUCUCCAAUGGACUACAUCCUUUCUGAUAUCUUGCACUUCAGUUUAAACCCAGGAACAUGUUGUAACUCAGCAAGUGGCAGAGGAUUUUUCUGAUGUUUCAGAGGAUGAGGGGUUUCAAAGUGAGGAGUGUGGGAGGGAUCAGAGAGAAUUGCAGGCAAUUGAGGCUGAUGUUUUGGAUUUCUGUGCUCGUUCCCAGGCAACACAAAGUGAAAGCUCCAAUUCCCUUGUGAAGCAGCCUUGGGCCAAUGGGGGAUUUUCCCGGGAAACUAGAUUAGGUCUGAUAAGGCAAGGAGUGAAAAAUAGAUAAAUGAGGUAUUCUCAGAGAAUCCAAAAAUCCAAACACCUUGAAGGUCAGGGGUGUUUGGCAUGAUCUCAUGGGCACCUGAAUGGGCUUAAAUUAGGUGGUUUGGGCUUUAAGUUUUCAGAGGAGACAACAUUGCUUAAAGGAUGGCUUUGCUGUCUCUGCUCUCAAGUUCAUGAUUCAAGUUUCCUGUUCUGGUUCAUGUUUUUGUUUCCAGGGUUUGCCCUGGAAAAAGUUCCUGUUUUCAGGUUUAUGGAUUCAUGUUUGAAGUACUGCUGUGGAUUUUGUUUCUGUUAACUUUAUGUACUUUGUCACUUUUGGAUUUUCUAUUCUGCUGGCCAUUAGAAAUGUCCCCUUUCUCCUUUUUACCUGGUUUCUUUAAUAAACAUUUUU